CCGCGCCUGCACCGGGGACGCGCCUGGGGAGGGGAGCAGAUUUCCAUGGCUAACAGAAUAACAUGCACCGAAAAGAUCCCUCUCCUCUGCUAAAAAUAGGCUAUAAAAGAGUCGGCCUCAUGAUGGCUCCUUGAUUCAAUUUGCUGCAAAUUCUUUCCUGAAAGCCUCCCCCCCACAUACACACACACACACACACACACACAAAAAGGGGGUGUAAAUGCACGAAGGGUGGAAGCAGGGGAGAAGGCCGAGGUGCACAUUUUCGGGGACAACAACAUAAUAAGGGUACAGGCAACAGUUUGAAAGAAUAGAGAAUCCAGAGAGGAUGGUACUUUGAUGUCAGGCAGCCUGGUUACCAUUUCAGAAGGCUCUAAUCACCUGUCUGAGGUAUAUUGGAACAGCUCUGAUCUGGAAUCAUAUGGGAUUUUUUUCUAGGCAUAUUUCAUCCUGCACCAGAAGGCUUAAAUUGCCUCAAAAUUGGAGGAAAGGAAAGAGAAAGAGUAGAGCAUUAGCCUCUGUCUAUAAGAAAAAAAAAAUCCCCAGUCAAGAGACAGAAGAUGAAGGACAGUUGGUUGAUACCAAGUUUCAGGCCUGGCUGUCAACCCAUCCCAAUGCAUCGCAGUGAAAUUAAUCCAUCACUAAACAACCCAGGUACGUCAUUACCUGCCGUCACUUGUCGGGUCAGUUGUGCUGGUUUGGCUGCAUACAAACAUGAUUUUAAAUUUCUUAUUUCCACAGAAAAACCCAAAGGCCGACAGUAUGUGUAUUCAGAAUUCCCAAGUUACCAACCCAGAACACACGGUAGAGAUAUUAAAAAAAAAAAAAAAAAUACUGGCUUGCAGG
This is a long non-coding RNA of Mustela erminea (ermine), 843 nucleotides long. RefSeq lists it as uncharacterized. Lineage: Eukaryota; Metazoa; Chordata; Mammalia; Carnivora; Mustelidae. The record is from RefSeq and is a predicted model, not a curated record. The transcript has 4 exons.